This 460-nucleotide ribosomal RNA is filed under the name uncultured bacterium. Its description in RNAcentral is "partial 16S ribosomal RNA". It matches the Rfam family "Bacterial small subunit ribosomal RNA", at positions 338 to 795 of the family's 1533-position model. The record is from RNAcentral.
CCUACGGGUGGCAGCAGUGAGGAAUAUUGGUCAAUGGGCGCAAGCCUGAACCAGCCAAGCAGCGUGAAGGAUGACUGCCCUACGGGUUGUAAGCUUCUUUUAUAAAGGAAUAAAGUGAGGCACGUGUGCCUUUUUGUACGUACUUUAUGAAUAAGGCUCGGCUAACUCCGUGCCAGCAGCCGCGGUAAUACGGAGGAUCCGAGCGUUAUCCGGAUUUAUUGGGUUUAAAGGGAGCGUAGAUGGGUUGUUAAGUCAGAUGUGAAAGUUUGGGGCUCAACCGUGAAAUUGCAAUUGAUACUGGGAGUCUAGAGUACAGUUGAGGUAGGCGGAAUUCGUGGUGUAGCGGUGAAAUGCUUAGAUAUCACGAAGAACACCGAUGGCGAAGGCAGCUUACUAAACUGCAACUGACAUUGAUGCACGAAAGUGUGGGUAGCAAACAGGAUUAGAUACCCCUGUAGUC